This is a long non-coding RNA of Eleginops maclovinus (Patagonian blennie), 715 nucleotides long. RefSeq lists it as uncharacterized. The record is from RefSeq and is a predicted model, not a curated record. The transcript is spliced from 2 exons. NCBI's taxonomy places the organism in Eukaryota, Metazoa, Chordata, Actinopteri, Perciformes, Eleginopidae.
CCCCUCUCAUGUUACAGCCUGCUGUCAGUUCAGUUUCUCUUUCUGUUCGACAUGUUCGUGUUCGUCCUUCAGCAAAAGACAGGUGCCAACCCGAUGCCAGCUGGAUGUCAAGGCCGGCAAGGAAAUGGGCUCCAGUCAUGUGGACGAGAUCAGAUAGUGCGCCUCCAAAACAAGAUGGGAGCAUUAUGUUGAUUAAGCUUUUAUUAAAGCAGAGUGGGAAAAAUACAGGUGGAUGAAGGUGUAAUCGGGUGGAUCUCAGUGCCUGAUAACACCUGGGCUCUGACCUAAACCUGCAGGAGGUGCGUCUCAUCAUGAACUUCCUUCAUGUUCCAAUACAUUAUGAUGGGGAUGGGGAAUCAUGACUCAGGUUAGUUUUCCUAAACCAUCUCUAUACUGGAGAUGCUGGUUUUACAAAUCAAUACAAGCAUUCUUAUUAAACUGAAGGGUUAGAGAGCACAGAUGGCACUGUAUAUUUAAUGUAACAAGUCAGACUUAGUAUCUUUGAAUCACAGGAGUGAGGGUCAGAAACACAACUCCAAAACAAAUGAAUGAUAAGGUUGCUCACCUGCCUUUUUUCAAAAAAAGCACAAACUAAAUUUCCUCCCAACGUGGUGUUUUAUUCUCACACAUACUGCAUAAGUACGGCAAUGGCUGGAGACCCUUUUGUAAUCUACAACUCAUCUCUGUGAAUAAAAUGUAAUAUCUGCCUAUCAUC